RNAcentral lists this long non-coding RNA (714 nucleotides) under Arabidopsis thaliana (thale cress). Its description in RNAcentral is "long non-coding RNA (ATHA_LNC000288)". The record is from RNAcentral. Lineage: Eukaryota; Viridiplantae; Streptophyta; Magnoliopsida; Brassicales; Brassicaceae.
GAGUUUCCGGGGGUGUGUUUGGAGGAGUUUCUGGUGGUGUGGUUGGAGGUGUCUUUGGUGUGUUUGGAGGAGUUCCCGGUGGUGUGUUUGGAGGUGUUUCUGGUGGAGUAUUUGGAGGACUUUGUGGGGGGGUGUUUGGUGGAGUUUCUGGUGGUGUGAUUGGAGGAGUUUCUGGUGGUGUGGUUGGAGGUGUCUCCGGUGGUGUGUUUGGAGGAGUUCCUGGUGGUGUGUUUGGAAGUGUCUCUGGUGGUGUGUUUGGAGGAGUUCCCGGUGGUGUGUUUGGAGGUGUUUCUGGUGGAGUAUUUGGAGGACUUUGUGGGGGGGUGUUUGGUGGAGUUUCUGGUGGUGUGAUUGGAGGAGUUUCUGGUGGUGUUGUUGGAGGUGUCUCCGGUGGUGUGUUUGGAGGAGUUCCUGGUGGUGUGUUUGGAAGUGUCUCCGGUGGUGUGUUUGGAGGAGUUCCCGGUGGUGUGUUUGGAGGUGUUUCUGGUGGAGUAUUUGGAGGACUUUGUGGGGGUGUGUUUGGUGGAAUUUCCGGUGGUGUGGUUGGAGAAGUUUCCGGUGGUGUGUUUGGAGAAGUUUCUGGUGGUGUGGUUGGAGGUGUCUCCGGUGGUGUGGUUGGAGGUGUCUCCGGUGGUGUGUUUGGAGGAGUUCCCGGUGGUGUGUUUGGAGGUAUUUCCGGUGGAGUGUUUGGAGGACUUUCUGGGGGCGUGUUUG